UACGAAGGGUGCAGGCGUUACUCGGAAUUACUGGGCGUAAAGCGUGCGUAGGUGGUUCGUUAAGUCUGAUGUGAAAGCCCUGGGCUCAACCUGGGAAUGGCAUUGGAAACUGGCGAUCUAGAGUGCGGUAGAGGGUAGUGGAAUUCCCGGUGUAGCAGUGAAAUGCGUAGAGAUCGGGAGGAACAUCUGUGGCGAAGGCGACUGCCUGGACCAGCACUGACACUGAGGCACGAAAGCGUGGGGAGCAAACAGG
This 253-nucleotide ribosomal RNA is filed under the name uncultured bacterium. Its description in RNAcentral is "partial 16S ribosomal RNA". It matches the Rfam family "Bacterial small subunit ribosomal RNA", at positions 524 to 776 of the family's 1533-position model. The record is from RNAcentral.